AUUGAACGCUGGCGGAAUGCUUUACACAUGCAAGUCGAACGGCAGCACGGACUUCGGUCUGGUGGCGAGUGGCGAACGGGUGAGUAAUGUAUCGGAACGUGCCCAGUCGUGGGGGAUAACGUAGUGAAAAUUACGCUAAUACCGCAUACGAUCUAUGGAUGAAAGCGGGGGAUCGCAAGACCUCGCGCGACUGGAGCGGCCGAUAUCAGAUUAGGUAGUUGGUGGGGUGAAGGCCCACCAAGCCAACGAUCUGUAGCUGGUCUGAGAGGACGACCAGCCACACUGGAACUGAGACACGGUCCAGACUCCUACGGGAGGCAGCAGUGGGGAAUUUUGGACAAUGGGCGAAAGCCUGAUCCAGCCAUUCCGCGUGCAGGAUGAAGGCCCUCGGGUUGUAAACUACUUUUGUACAGAACGAAAAGGUUUCUACUAAUACUAGGAGCUCAUGACGGUACUGUAAGAAUAAGCACCGGCUAACUACGUGCCAGCCGCCGCCGUAA
RNAcentral lists this ribosomal RNA (500 nucleotides) under uncultured bacterium. RNAcentral describes it as "partial 16S ribosomal RNA". It matches the Rfam family "Bacterial small subunit ribosomal RNA", at positions 30 to 523 of the family's 1533-position model. The record is from RNAcentral.